RNAcentral lists this ribosomal RNA (1514 nucleotides) under uncultured deep-sea bacterium. RNAcentral's name for it is "bacterial SSU rRNA". It matches the Rfam family "Bacterial small subunit ribosomal RNA". The record is from RNAcentral.
AGAGUUUGAUCAUGGCUCAGAAUGAACGCUGGAGGCGUGCUUAACACAUGCAAGUCGAACGAGAAAGUUCCUUCGGGAGCGAGUAAAGUGGCGAUCGGGUGCGUAACACGUAGGUAAUCUACCCUAGAGAUUGGGACAACAGUUCGAAAGGACUGCUAAUACCAAAUAAGCCGACAGAUACUGAGGUAUCAGUCGGUAAAGAUGCCCUCUGUUUACAAGGUAUCACUCAAGGAUGAGCCUGCGCACUAUUAGCUUGUUGGUGAGGUAAUGGCUCACCAAGGCUUAGAUGGUUAGCUGGUCUGAGAGGACGACCAGCCACACUGGAACUGAAAUACGGUCCAGACUCCUACGGGAGGCAGCAGUGGGGAAUAUUGCGCAAUGGGGGAAACCCUGACGCAGCGACGCCUCGUGAGUGAUGAAGGCCUUCGGGUUGUAAAGCUCUGUCAGAUGGGAAGAAACGGAGUAUGGCUAAUAUCCAUACUCUUUGACGGUACCAUCAGAGGAAGCACCGGCUAACUUCGUGCCAGCAGCCGCGGUAAUACGAAGGGUGCUAGCGUUAUUCGGAAUCACUGGGCGUAAAGUGUGUGUAGGUGGUAAUUUAAGUUCGAUGUGAAAUCCUUAGGCCUAACCUAAGAACUGCAUUGAAAACUAGAUUACUAGAGUUCGGUAGAGGAUGGUGGAAUUCCUGGUGUAGAGGUGAAAUUCGUAGAUAUCAGGAGGAAUACCGGUGGCGAAGGCGACCAUCUGGACCGAUACUGACACUGAGACACGAAAGCGUGGGUAGCAAACAGGAUUAGAUACCCUGGUAGUCCACGCCGUAAACGAUGGAUACUAGGUGUGGGGGGUAUUGACCCCUCCCGUACCGCAGUUAACACGAUAAGUAUCCCGCCUGGGAAGUACGGUCGCAAGAUUAAAACUCAAAGGAAUUGACGGGGGCCCGCACAAGCGGUGGAGCAUGUGGUUCAAUUCGAAGCAACGCGAAGAACCUUACCUGGGUUUGAAGUUAUACUGCUAAUCAUAGAGAUAUGGUGUUUUCUUCGGAAACGGUAUAAUAGGUGCUGCAUGGCUGUCGUCAGCUCGUGUCGUGAGAUGUUGGGUUAAGUCCCGCAACGAGCGCAACCCCUAUCUUUAGUUGCCACCAUUAAGUUGGGCACUCUAGAGAGACUGCCGGUGUUAAGCCGGAGGAAGGUGGGGACGACGUCAAGUCAUCAUGGCCCUUACGUCCAGGGCGACACACGUGCUACAAUGGCCGGUACAGCGAGGAGCGAAACCGUGAGGUGAAGCAAAUCUCUAAAAACCGGUCACAGUUCGGAUUGAAGUCUGCAACUCGACUUCAUGAAGCUGGAAUCGCUAGUAAUCGCGGAUCAGCAUGCCGCGGUGAAUACGUUCUCGGGCCUUGUACACACCGCCCGUCACACCAUGAAAGUUGGUCUUGCCAGAAGACGUUUUACUAACCUUCGGGAGGUAAGCGGCCAAGGUGAGGUCGAUGAUUGGGGUGAAGUCGUAACAAGGUA